ACGUGUAAAGUUCACAAGAAAGUCGUUCCAGUGUAUCAAAUCUAUCCUGUUUGCCAGUUUCAUGAUCAUCCUGAACCGCUGUUUCCCUAUCUUCAUGGUGCUGGCAUGGAUCUACUCUGUCUCCAUGACUGUGAAGAGCAUCGUCUUGGAGAAGGAGUUGCGACUGAAGGAGACCUUGAAAAAUCAGGGUGUCUCCAAUGCAGUGAUUUGGUGUACCUGGUUCCUGGACAGCUUCUCCAUCAUGUCGAUGAGCAUCUUCCUCCUGACGAUAUUCAUCAUGGAAGUGCUGUACCACACUAGGCAGUGUGUGUAGUGACCACAGACUGGCUGAGUGUCUCCCAUCCCAUGCUGGCCCAUAUCUGGUACCCACCUGAUCCACAAAUGUUCCAUCAGAUCCUGUUCAAACAACACAUCUCCAGUUAAGCCAAAUCUUGCCCUUUCUCCUUACGGUAAAAUGUACUAAAUCUGAA
RNAcentral lists this long non-coding RNA (470 nucleotides) under Homo sapiens (human). Its description in RNAcentral is "non-protein coding lnc-ARHGAP29-4:1". Lineage: Eukaryota; Metazoa; Chordata; Mammalia; Primates; Hominidae. The record is from RNAcentral.